UCGAACGGGCGUAGCAAUACGCUAGUGGCGGACGGGUGAGUAACGCGUGAGAAUCUGCCUUGUGGAUGGGGACAACAGUGGGAAACCGCUGCUAAUACCCGAUAUGCCUAGCGGUAAAAGAUUUAUCGCCACAAGAGGAGCUCGCGUCUGAUUAGCUAGUAGGUGGGGUAAGAGCCUACCUAGGCGACGAUCAGUAGCUGGUCUGAGAGGAUGAGCAGCCACACUGGGACUGAGACACGGCCCAGACUCCUACGGGAGGCAGCAGUGGGGAAUUUUCCGCAAUGGGCGAAAGCCUGACGGAGCAAUACCGCGUGAGGGAGGAAGGCUCUUGGGUCGUAAACCUCUUUUCUUAGGGAAGAAGAUCUGACGGUACCUAAGGAAUCAGCAUCGGCUAACUCCGUGCCAGCAGCCGCGGUAAUACGGAGGAUGCAAGCGUUA
This 438-nucleotide ribosomal RNA is filed under the name uncultured bacterium. RNAcentral's name for it is "bacterial SSU rRNA". It matches the Rfam family "Bacterial small subunit ribosomal RNA", at positions 62 to 543 of the family's 1533-position model. The record is from RNAcentral.